UACGUAGGGGGCAAGCGUUGUCCGGAAUCACUGGGCGUAAAGCGCGCGCAGGCGGUCAUCUACGUCUGGGGUGAAAGCCCGGAGCUCAACUCCGGGAUUGCCUUGGAUACGGGAUGACUUGAGGAUCGGAGAGGCAAGGGGAAUUCCACGUGUAGCGGUGAAAUGCGUAGAGAUGUGGAGGAACACCUGUGGCGAAGGCGCCUUGCUGGCCGAUUUCUGUCGCUGAGGCGCGAAAGCGUGGGGAGCAAACAGG
This 253-nucleotide ribosomal RNA is filed under the name uncultured bacterium. RNAcentral's name for it is "partial 16S ribosomal RNA". It matches the Rfam family "Bacterial small subunit ribosomal RNA", at positions 524 to 776 of the family's 1533-position model. The record is from RNAcentral.